This 73-nucleotide transfer RNA is filed under the name Salmo salar (Atlantic salmon). It matches the Rfam family "tRNA". From Rfam's summary of the family: Transfer RNA (tRNA) molecules are approximately 80 nucleotides in length. The record is from Rfam by way of RNAcentral. Lineage: Eukaryota; Metazoa; Chordata; Actinopteri; Salmoniformes; Salmonidae.
GGUUAGUUGGCUCAGUUGGUUGAGCAUGGCACUUGCAAGGCCAGGGUUGUGGGUUUGAUUCCCAAAGUGGACC